This 266-nucleotide ribosomal RNA is filed under the name uncultured Methylobacterium sp. RNAcentral describes it as "partial 16S ribosomal RNA". It matches the Rfam family "Bacterial small subunit ribosomal RNA", at positions 1117 to 1382 of the family's 1533-position model. Lineage: Bacteria; Pseudomonadati; Pseudomonadota; Alphaproteobacteria; Hyphomicrobiales; Methylobacteriaceae. The record is from RNAcentral.
GCCAUCAUUCAGUUGGGCACUCUAGGGAGACUGCCGGUGAUAAGCCGCGAGGAAGGUGUGGAUGACGUCAAGUCCUCAUGGCCCUUACGGGAUGGGCUACACACGUGCUACAAUGGCGGUGACAGUGGGAACGCGAAGGAGCGAUCUGGAGCAAAUCCCCAAAAGCCGUCUACAGUUCGGAUUGCACUCUGCAACUCGAGUGCAUGAAGGCGGAAUCGCUAGUAAUCGUGGAUCAGCAUGCCACGGUGAAUACGUUCCCGGGCCUU